Long non-coding RNA from Pipra filicauda (Wire-tailed manakin), 2731 nucleotides. RefSeq lists it as uncharacterized. NCBI's taxonomy places the organism in Eukaryota, Metazoa, Chordata, Aves, Passeriformes, Pipridae. The transcript is spliced from 3 exons. The record is from RefSeq and is a predicted model, not a curated record.
CGGGGCCCUGAGGGAGCUGCGGGAGCUGCUGGGUCCGUGCUCACGGGCUGCCGGGCCUCAAAGCCGCCGAACAUCCAUGGGCAACCCCGAGCAAAGGUGUCCGCUAGAGAAACCCGGGCACCGGCGUUUCCGAUGACAUAAAGCCUUGUCCCAGCCAGAUGCAGCUAUCCAAAGAUACAGACAUCCUGGCUGCGGCUGUUUCGUUACGUAGAUGGAAAUAGGGGGCGAGACGAGAAGAGGCAAGCCUCGUUUAUACUGCGAAUCUCGUGUCGGUUUGCUUUCAUGUAUUUUUCUAUGCAAAUUUAUACCAGACAAAUCUGUAAUUUAUGUGGGUGUUGCUGGGCAAGUCCUGGUAGGCAGCUGGGUCCCACACAGGCGCUUGGUCACUCCCUCACAGGAGGAUGGAGAACAGAGUAAGAAGGGUAAAAGAAAAUGGCCAUCUAAAUAAAAAGAGUGUAAUAGGUAAAGCCACAAGCACAUAAGCAAAGCAAAAUAAGGAACUCACUCAGCACUUCAAGAUUGGCAGACAGAUGUGCAUUUAGCCAUUUCCAGGAAAGCAGAGCUGUGACAUGUGUGAAGUUUCCUUAGGAAGACAAGCACCAUAACUCCUAACUCCCCACAUUUCCUCCUUCUUACCUCAGCUCUCGCUGCUCAGCAUCACAUCGAGUUACUUGAGCAUUUAACUUGCAUUAAUAAAUCUCAUCCUAAUAAUGUAAGAGGACAUUCUGGCACAUAUAGAAACUAAUGAUUCAGUUCGGUAUCUCCAACUGUAUGCUCCAUGAGUUGUAGGAAUGGCCUCAAAACUCUAUUUCCCAUUGCCCCAACAAUUAGUAUUGUAACUUUACUUAGCAGGCCUUUGCAGAUAGUUCUUAUUGAAUGUAUGACCCCUCUAUGAAAAAUCUAUUGUUUCAUUUCCUGGUUUUACUGGAACUAGGGCGCUUGCUGGGGAUGCCUUGUUAUUUUUCCAUGGUCACCUUUACUCAUUGACAAAAAUCCUCCAAUAUAAUAAUUUUUACAUCUUCUAAUUGACCCUUCUUACCCAUAAAUAGCACAUAGAUUUAGGCUCUUUUCUUCUGUGGUAAAAAGGUAUUCAGUAUACCCUGCAUAUCCCCUCAACUAGGGCUACGAGUCAGCAUGAUAUUUUCCAAAAACUUUCUUCAAGAUUUUCAUGGUAGGAACCAACAGAUCAUUUCCAGUUCAACAAAUCUGAAGUGUAAAAGGGACACAUAUAAAAAAUUGGCAGACCCGCUGCUCCCAUUGCUUGACUGAAAGAUGCCUGUAUCACCUGUAGCGCUGGGAAUGUCCUUGAGUUCGGUCCACAAUAGGACUAAAAUCCGCACCACCUCCCAUAUGCUCUUUAUUUUGAUUCAUAUCCUCUUUAUUGAUCCCUGUCCCAAUGUUAUAUGGCAUGAAAAGGAGGGAACUAACAUUCACACAUCUUCUGUUUUCUUCCCUCCACAACAUACAAUCCCUUGCUGUUUUCUCUUCUCAAUACAUACACCUGCAUAUCUCUUCUCAUUUUACACUAGUUUCUGAAUAUCUGGAUCUCUGUGAAAUAAUGUCAUAAAAGGACAAACAUGAAAAAAACCUCAUUCCAUUUACCAAGUCAGCAACAAAACAACAUCAACUGUAAGGUAAUAGAUUGCAAAGGCACAAUUUCCUUAUCCUUCCUUCCUCAUCCUUCAAUUUAUAAGGUGGCCACCAUUGAUUACAAUAUCUCUUAAUUUUAUCUUCAGUCAUCGGAUCUUCCCCAAACUUAUUCCAAUUUUUCAGAAUACAAUUAGGAGGACUACAAGAAGGAAUGGUUUGAUCCUGUAUUUAAUAAUAUUUAAGUUACCCAAUUUCUUUAUCCUUAGGUCUCAACUUCCAACAGUUACACUGCUCCAGUCCCACUGAUCUAUUAAGGCCCUCUGCCAAGCAUUCUUUUGUGACUUACGUGGAGACUGAUACCUAUAAAUCUACAUCUUUAGAAAUUCUUAAUUUUUUUUUCCCAGGGAAGAAAGGAAAUAUGAUACUCACCACUUCAGGAAUUCAUCCGUAUCUCCCUUGCACAAAUACCUCUGGAGCAUUGCGCCUUUGAAUUGCCUUAUGCCCCAGUGCUGGAGAGGAUUUUUUGGAGUCCUCAGUGAAACUGGAGACAUCUUACUGUAAUGACCUUGAUGUGGAUGAAGUCAUGGGGAUAGUAGGAGCCAGCAAUUAGCUUGACAAAGAGACAAACACGCAGGACAUGUGAGGAGGGAGUAGAAGAAUGGAAGAAAAUUACCAGGCAAAGAAAGCAAAGAAGCCAUCAGAAGAGCGAAAUGUGUGCCUUUGAGUUUCAAGGAGGAGCUGUGGCAGGGCACCAGCAAGCCAAGAAGGAAAAGUGAAGAGUCCCUGUCCCUGAGGAUCAUGCAACCUGAAGCACCUGCUGCCUGUUUCUUUAGUGCAUUGUACCUGUUCAUGGAGUGGUGUAUUUAAAUCUCAGUGAAGUAAAAUAAGCCUUAAAUUUACUUUAUAUUUGUGUUUAUAUAUUUGUAUACAAUUUCUACUGUGAAAAAGAUAAAAAGAAGUAAAUGCAAGGAUAGUACAUAAUUCUAAUAAUCCCCUAACAGAAGUAAGUAAAGAAUUCACAUUGUUUCUUGACAUAAUUCUGCUGAUUCUAUCAAAAUCACUUUUAGAAUUUAUCUCAAUAUAUGCUUUUGUCUGUUAAAAGCUUGCUAAUUUAUGUUAGUAAAGUUGUCAUCCUCAAUUA